UAUGAUUAAGAAGAAUAAUUCUUAUAAAUAGAUUUACAAUCUAUCGCCUAAACU
Molecule: transfer RNA, 54 nt
Filed under: Drosophila putrida
Lineage: Eukaryota; Metazoa; Arthropoda; Insecta; Diptera; Drosophilidae
Also listed under: 4 other names
Description: tRNA-Tyr
Source: RNAcentral